RNAcentral lists this ribosomal RNA (247 nucleotides) under uncultured bacterium. RNAcentral describes it as "partial 16S ribosomal RNA". It matches the Rfam family "Bacterial small subunit ribosomal RNA", at positions 523 to 769 of the family's 1533-position model. The record is from RNAcentral.
AUACGGAGGGUGCAAGCGUUAUUCGGAAUUAUUGGGCGUAAAGGGCGUGUAGGCGGCCAGAUAAGUCAGAGGUGAAAGCCCGGGGCUCAACCCCGGAAGUGCCUUUGAAACUGUUUGGCUUGAGUGCGGGAGAGGAAAGCGGAAUUCCCAGUGUAGAGGUGAAAUUCGUAGAUAUUGGGAGGAACAUCGGUGGCGAAGGCGGCUUUCUGGACCGACACUGACGCUGAGGCGCGAAAGCGUGGGGAGC